UUCAUUCACUUUACUUCCGUGUGUUAAAGUGGGCGGGGUAAUUCGAAGACGCCGGCGUUCAAUUUGGUAUUAGUGUUCAGUUCCGAGAGAAAAAGUGGGAAAUCAUGAAUGUUGAGCACGAAAUAGGUCUUCUGAAGGAAGAAAUUAAAAGAUUAGGAACACCAGGUGCUGAUGGAACACUACAAGUUGAAUUUGGAGUCCUUUUCAACGAUGAGAAAUGUGCAAAUAUGUUUGAGGCCCUGGUAGGGACUCUGAAAGCAGCCAAGAAGAGGAAGAUCGUCAAGUAUGAUGGAGAACUGCUAUUGCAAGGGGUCCAUGAUAAAGUCCCGAUUGUACUGCUAGAACAGUGACACUAGCACAAUGUAGUAAAGUGGUAAAGUAGACUACUCAAAAGAAGUUAAGGACCACCUGAUUCUUUAAUAGAACUGUGGUUAAUCUGUCGCCACCCAAUUUUUACCUAUAACUAUAGAUACUUUGUCAUGACAUGACAGAUUAACUAGAGUAAUAUGGAAGAAUCGGGCGGUCUGUAACUUCUUUUGAGUAGCAUCUUUGCUUUAAAUAUUAUCAGGUUCAAGUGAAAAAAUGAUUGUACAAAAUAUUGUUUGGUUGUCAUAGAAAACAUUAACAUAUACAGUAAGGCAGAAGGGAUCCACUGAUGUGCUAGGAUAUUUUGAAUUUGACUUUCAUUGUUUCAGCCAUAGAAAUGAGUUCAUGAAAGACUUACCUGAUGAGUGAAUAUUGGCAUUAACCAAAUCUGUUUCAUUUUUAUGUUUCCAAUCUGUUCAAAUGAACCACUUGCUACUGUAUGUUACAUUGCUCACAUUUUGUUUGCAAUCUUUCCAUUUUUUUAUUUGUUUUGACUCUGUGACUCAAACUCAAGUAUGUGUUCAUAUUUUUUAAAUUUGUCCAGUAUUAUUUGGUGUUCGUAUUUCUCCUCUGUGCCAAAUGUUUGUAAUCGGCUGGUGGUAAAAUUGGUUUGGAAUAUUGAUAUGUUGGGGAGUGUUGAAACAAUUUGAAGACAGAAGUUUUUCACACUAUACAUUUCUCUUUCUUCUUUCGAUCCUAAGUGGAAACGUGUCUGAAACAAAGGUUUCCAGCUUCUAAAAUGAAUUCACCCAUACAUACCUCACAUCACUAUGGUCACCUCCCAACAUCUGGGUCACUCACGCUUGCAUGCUGGUUGACCUGAAUGUCCACUGUUUGUAUAUCAGACUAAUAUAUUUAAGUUGAUGAAUCAUGAGUGGUGCAGAGAGUAAAGGAUGUCGCCAGCCAAUAUUACUGUAAGUUGUUCAGGACAUUAAUUCCUGUAAUGAAUGUGUGAAAUUAAGAAAGAUUGGAAUAUGAAUGUCAUAACAACUGGUGUUGUCCCUAAGGGUGCCAUUGUUUGGAAAGUUUAGUAUUGAUAUAUCGACUCAAAGGUAUCAUGAUAUAUGAAUUAAUAUCAAAAUUAGUUCUUCAGUAUGUGUGUAUAUCAAAUUUAGACCUGCAAUUUGUUAACUUAAUGUCCAUCUAGACUAUUUUAACAAAUGAAACCAUUUCUGUGGCAGUGAAUUAUUAGUUUAGUAUCAAUAUUCAUAAAUUUGUAUAGAUACAGUGUCAAGAUAAAACAUGUAUUGAGACAUCAAUAUCAGGUUACACAAUGACAUCCCUUAUUGUCCCACAAAACCACUAUCACAUAUCAUACAAAUAUUAGAUUUUUUGUUUAAGACAGGGUAUUUCAUAUUAAUAUGUUUUGUAAUAAUUUUGUAAAAAUCAAAUUAAAGUGCCUUGUAAUUCUUUUAUAUUUUCAAGGUUCCAUGCAGCUGUAUCAGACUAUAUAUAUUUUGAUCACUGUUAUGCAGUUUACUGAACAGUUUAUGUAUGACAAUAAGUUUUGUGCAAUAAGCAGCAUUUUUCCUAACAAUCUAUGAGGUUUCCAAACCUUGAGGAUAUACAUUCAAAAUAAAAGGUCUACACAUCUGA
RNAcentral lists this long non-coding RNA (1962 nucleotides) under Haliotis rufescens (red abalone). RNAcentral's name for it is "uncharacterized LOC124135803". Lineage: Eukaryota; Metazoa; Mollusca; Gastropoda; Lepetellida; Haliotidae. The record is from RNAcentral.